UUUUGACUGUGCAAAGGUAGCAUAAUAAUUAGUUUUUUAAUUGAAAACUGGUAUGAAUGGUUGGACAAGGGAAAUUCUGUCUCUAUUUUAAUUUUAUUAGAAAUUUAUUUUUAAGUUAAAAAGCUUAGAUUUAUUUAAAAGACGAGAAGACCCUAUAGAGUUUUAUAUAAUUAAUAGAUUAAAAUUUUAAGUAUUAAGUUUUUAUUCUAUUAAUUAUAUUUAGUUGGGGUGACUUAAAAACAUAAUUAACUUUUUAUUUAUUUAAACAUUAAUUUAUGAGUAAUUGAUCCAUUGAUUAUGAUAAAAGAU
This 309-nucleotide ribosomal RNA is filed under the name Lethrus anisodon. RNAcentral describes it as "partial 16S ribosomal RNA". The record is from RNAcentral. Lineage: Eukaryota; Metazoa; Arthropoda; Insecta; Coleoptera; Geotrupidae.